UGGAUGACUGAGGAUGGAGCUGGACACAUGUGAGGGCUUUGCCGCUAGCUCUCAACAAGGGCCCGAUGUAAACGCAGAAGAAUUGUCCUGGAACAUUCAGCGCUACCUAAAGUUGAGGACAUGUACCUUCAGAGUUUGCUCUGCUUCUAAAACAGAUCACACCAAAAUGAUUUCGGGCCACAGCUUAUGUGAGAAAGGGGGUCUGUUUUUGUCUUUGGUUAUCUAGCUGUAUGAGUGUUAAAUGCCUGUCAUAAAGCUAGAUAACCGAAAGUAGAAAUGACUUCCAUACCGUUGUGUUCAUUACCAAGACAAAACGAGGCUCCUCAGGUGGAUUUACACCGAAAAAGCUUCCCUAAUAACACUGAAAGAUCCGGGAUGCCUGAACAGACCCGCCAUUAAACAAAAUUGAGAAGAGAGGAAGAAAACGGUUGGUCCGGAUUUGCCACCUCCUCCCACCCUCCCCCGUUGUACCCGGGAGCUCCUGAUGCCAUCUGUGCUGCCAACAGAGACACUUUGCUCGUGCCAAGAGGCGGACAAAGACCCUCUCCAGAUCCCAGGAGUAUGGGCGCGCUCAGAGGAGCCAUCUUGGGAGAUGUUUGCCGCGACAACUAAAAUGGCUGGGCUGGCACUGGAGGGUUGGACCAGGAGCUGGCACACCAACGACCAACUUCAACAAAAGUCAUCAGUCUAGCUAGACUCUGCAGACCAUGAAUUUGAGAUUAUGAGAUUAUUAUCCCAAUGUACUGUAGUACCCUGACAUGUACAAGUCAAAAUAUGUCUGAAGAUACUGAAACAAUAGGGAAGUUUGGAUAAAAACUGUAAAUAAAUACUUGAUUAUUCCUGCUUAUUGCACACUCAAUAAUGCAUGUGUAUUUUUAAUUUUUAAAUAAAUACCCUUUUCUCUUUCUAUGGUUAAGUUAAAUGUUUUGAUAAGAUAAAUGUAUUAAUAACAAAAUGUACUAUUAUGAGUGAUAUAUCAGUGAAAUAAAAAUUAUGGAUAUA
Molecule: long non-coding RNA, 1002 nt
Organism: Melanotaenia boesemani (Boeseman's rainbowfish)
Lineage: Eukaryota; Metazoa; Chordata; Actinopteri; Atheriniformes; Melanotaeniidae
Exons: 4
Source: RefSeq, a predicted model, not a curated record